UCCUCAUGUGCAUUCUUUGUGCAAACAAAGGAGGAGCACAAGAAGAAGCACCCGGAUGCUUCUGUCCACUUCUCAGAGUUCUCCAAGAAGUGCUCAGAAAGGUGAAAUGCCUGGAAACCGGAAAAGAAACCCUGCGCACAAGAACAAAAUGUCUGCAGUCGAGGAACCUGGGCUUGGAAUCAUGAUGGAGCAAUUGAACUAUUUUCAAUAACAUAGAGCCCCAAGGGAAAG
Molecule: long non-coding RNA, 231 nt
Filed under: Rattus norvegicus (Norway rat)
Lineage: Eukaryota; Metazoa; Chordata; Mammalia; Rodentia; Muridae
Description: long non-coding RNA NONRATT033185
Source: RNAcentral